Molecule: long non-coding RNA, 980 nt
Filed under: Papio anubis (olive baboon)
Lineage: Eukaryota; Metazoa; Chordata; Mammalia; Primates; Cercopithecidae
Description: lncRNA (ENSPANG00000042108.1)
Source: RNAcentral
GGUGGGCCAGGAAGGCAACCAGCCAGAGAUCAAGAUUGCACCUGUCCCAAGACUGGAAGACUGGGUAUAAAAACAGAACAGUGGACACAACUCCAAGAGAAGGUUUUGACCAAAUGUCUUGAAUCAUAGAAGAUUUGACUGUAAACCUACUCCACAGUUUCUAUUCGGUGGAUGAUUUUGCUGAACUGAGCUAAGAUAGAAUUGGAUAUUGAAGAGCUAAAGUGUGUUGACUUUUAAAAAUUUUUUAUAAGCUCAACUUUGAUUUUAGAUUCAGGGGAUACAUGUGCAGGUUUGUUACAUGGCUGUAUUGCGUGAUGCUGAGGUUUGGCGUGUGAAGGAUCCUAUCAUCCAGAAUCCUCCAAACAACCUCAAUGAUCAGCCAAGUGGAGCUGGGGAAGUGGAGCUCUGCACCCAAGCUGAGCUCCAAGUGCCAAGAGCAAAUAGAAGAGCUGGGAAAAGAAGCAACUUGUCAGCUGUAUUUCUGCGAACUCUCGGUUCUCUGGCCUUCAGACUCCAGGACUUGCAGCAGUCACUCCCUGCCCCUCGCAGGUUCUCAGGGCUUUGGCCUUGGCCUGAGAGUUACCCCGUUGGCUUUCCUGGGACCCGACCUUGCAGGACACACAUUGCGGGACUUCUCAACCUCCACAGUCACCUUCCAACGCAUGCUUCCUUCCACCACAGGACUCCUGCCAGUGCAGCCUGGAGCCCAAGCUCACCGUUCCCUCCUGUGGGACGCGUCACAUUCGAGACAUGGGUGGUAUUUCUCGUGCCACCCUGGUGCCUGGGCUGUACUUCUGCAAAGCUGCCUGUUAAUUGCCUGCUCUCAGGGGCCAAGGGCUUCAGAAAUGGGUUUCUUCCCUGUUGAUGCUUGUUCUCCAGUUCCCUGCACCAAUCCAAAUAGUAGAAAAAACAUAUGCCUGUUUCAUCAAGAAAAUACUGCUCCUGUGUUUUGGCAUUUAUGGCUGAGUUUUAAGAUGUAA